GAACGCACAUUGCGCUUUCCGGUAUUCCGGUAAGCAUGCCUGUUUGAGAAUCGAUAAUCACUCACCGUGUCUUUUUAGAAUUGGAUGACAUUGGUUUUCGGACCAAUGUUUGACAAGACUUGGGCACAGUGGAUUUGGGACAUUUGCUUUUGCAGCAACGUCCUUAAAACUAAUGUUUGACCAUUUGUUCGCUGAUGUGAUCGAGGUUAAUGAGUGCAUGAAUAGGAUAACUCCUUUUAAAUGAUUUCACUUUGUACCUGGAUCUUGAUUCAGCCUUGUGGGCAACUCCAGUUUAAUACUCAGGGAGAGUUCCGUUUGGAACUAGUUCUGAAAACUUGGUCUCAAAUCAGGUAGGAAAACCCGCUGAACUUAAG
Molecule: unclassified non-coding RNA, 374 nt
Filed under: uncultured fungus
Lineage: Eukaryota; Fungi
Description: sequence contains 5.8S rRNA gene
Source: RNAcentral